AGUCACUGACAUUAGAUACCCCCGUAGUCCAGGGUGUAAACGCUGCAGACUUGGUGUUGGAAGCCCUUUGGGGGCAUUCAGUGCCGGAGAGAAGUUGUUAAGUCUGCUACUUGGGGAGUACGUCCGCAAGGAUGAAACUUAAAGGAAUUGGCGGGGGAGCACCGCAACGGGAGGAGCGUGCGGUUUAAUUGGAUUCAACACCGUAAAACUCACCAGGGAAGACUGUUACAUGAAAGCCGAGAUGAAGACUCUGCUAGAUUUUCAG
RNAcentral lists this ribosomal RNA (265 nucleotides) under uncultured archaeon. Its description in RNAcentral is "partial 16S ribosomal RNA". It matches the Rfam family "Archaeal small subunit ribosomal RNA", at positions 718 to 982 of the family's 1478-position model. The record is from RNAcentral.